Molecule: ribosomal RNA, 207 nt
Filed under: uncultured bacterium
Lineage: Bacteria
Description: partial 16S ribosomal RNA
Rfam family: Bacterial small subunit ribosomal RNA
Source: RNAcentral
CGCGUAGGCGGUCUUGCGUGUCAAGUGUGAAAUCUCUGGGCUCAACCCGGAAAGUGCGCUUGAAACUACAGGACUCGAGUCUGGGAGAGGGAGUCGGAAUAUAGGGUGUAGCGGUGAAAUGCGUAGAUAUCCGGAGGAACACCGGUGGCGAAGGCGGCUUCCUGGACCGACACUGACGCUGAGGCGCGAAAGCUAGGGGAGCAAACG